UACAGAGGGGGCGAGCGUUGUUCGGAAUUACUGGGCGUAAAGGGCGCGUAGGCGGCCUUCUAAGUCGGACGUGAAAUCCCUCGGCUCAACCGAGGAACUGCGUCCGAUACUGGUUGGCUUGAAUUCGGGAGAGGGAUGCGGAAUUCCAGGUGUAGCGGCGAAAUGCGUAGAUAUCUGGAGGAACACCGGUGGCGAAGGCGGCAUCCUGGACCGAUAUUGACGCUGAUGCGCGAAAGCCAGGGGAGCAAACGGG
This 253-nucleotide ribosomal RNA is filed under the name uncultured bacterium. RNAcentral's name for it is "partial 16S ribosomal RNA". It matches the Rfam family "Bacterial small subunit ribosomal RNA", at positions 524 to 776 of the family's 1533-position model. The record is from RNAcentral.